This is a long non-coding RNA of Scophthalmus maximus (turbot), 3225 nucleotides long. RefSeq lists it as uncharacterized. Lineage: Eukaryota; Metazoa; Chordata; Actinopteri; Pleuronectiformes; Scophthalmidae. The record is from RefSeq and is a predicted model, not a curated record. The transcript is spliced from 2 exons.
UUUUUUUUAUCUACGUUAACAAGCAGCUUAGCUUCAGUGAUUACACACGACUCUGAGAGACGCUAACCUGACACAUCCUCAGGGAUCAGUUUGUCUUACUUUUUACUUGACUGUCUGUGUGUGUGUGUGUGCGCUAAAAACAGAAAUACAAAUACAACAACAGCGUGUUAGCUGUGAGUUCGCUGUGGCUCCCACCUGCAGGAUGGCCCCAUAGAGGCGCAGCAGGAUGCUCCGCGGCUCGUCCCCGACAGUGUCCAGGCUGUCGGAGAGGCUGCACAGGAAGAGCUUGUUGCUCAGACCACCCCUGGAGGAAAAGACAGUGAGGAAAUAUGAUUCAUCAUAAUUCGAAUCGCCUCCGUACGGGAGACGGAAGCGCUUACAACGGAGCCAAAACCGCUCAGUCGUAGCUUCUGUCGCUAGCACGUCUCUUAAAGGGGCAGUAACGGAUUCUGGACACAGCUAGUCUCUCUUUGCUGUUGUUGUUGAUUUUUUUUUGACCGCACCGAUCGGGUCGCGAAACCGCAGCCUCGGGGUCGUGAGACGGACACGAUAGCGAUGAGGCCCAAACCCCUGAGUUGUCGUAGCUUCUGUUGCUAGCGCGUCUCUUAAAGGGGCAGUAAGCAAUUUUGGAGAAAGCUAGUCUCUCUUUGCUGUUGUUGACUUUUUGACUGCACCGGUCUGGCACUCGAACCCGCAGCCUCGGGUUCGGGAGACGGACGCGCUAACAACGAAGCCCAAACCCCUGGGUCGUAGCUUCAUUCGCUAGCGCGUCUCUUAAGGUGUCGGGGAGGCACCUUUUAUUGUGUGUGUUGUUUCUGAUUUACGGAGGCAGGGCUUCGCCGGAAAAAAACAUAUUUUUUUUACCAGUGCACAUGCAGAACCGACAGCUUAUGGACCGAGAGGAAAUAUUUGCAGAAUUUUACCCAAAAAGUACAUUUGAUUAAAAUCGCUUGCUGCACCUUUAACGAUACGCCGUAAAUUCAAACACCACUCAUGUUUUAAUUUUUUUUUUAAUCAUAUAUGGCCUCAGAUAGAUUUGUCAUACAGUGUCAUUACAUUAAAAGCCUAUUUAGUCAAAUCUUGUUGUUCUAACUUUUUUUUCCUCCAACAGCAACAAAAACUAAAAUGGCAGCUGAAGCAAAUAAAAAAAAAAACCCCAAAUUGGCCUCUUCACUAGGCCCUUCGUCCCCACAAUGUUUCAGCUGCGAGGCUGGAGCUCGUGUUGAUGUUGUGAGGUGUCGGGUUACGUCCGUGGAUUAUGAAUUAACAAUCGACCCUGGGAUGAAUUCAGGGACUAGAUAUACGAAACGAGAGCGCUCGCUUUAUGUCCCCUUCGACAGCCUGGUGUCCUUGUUCCGCUAUUCUCCGUGAGCAUCACGAGCACGGAGGAGGAGAGGUGGUGCGACUCUCAUGUCGAACAAUGGAGAGACAUACAUUCUGAGAUAUUCUUUUCAAAAAGAAGAUAUUUGGAGGGGGAGUAAGCGCAGCUUCCACCUCCUGGGCCUACUUUUCCUCCCCGCCCACCCCGCCCCUCCGCCCCUCUCCCCGUGAGCUCACGAAGCGAGCGGACCGCGGCUCGUACCUGAUGACGGUGCAGUGGAAGUCGAGCUCGGCCACACUCUUCCAGGCGCCGUGGAGGAACUCGCGGCACCACAGUUCGAUUCAGAGUCGUCGCUGCUGAUGCUGAUGCUGAGGAAGAGGCGGAUGAGUCACGGAUAACGGCGCCGGGCGGAGACAGCUGCGUUCACGUUAACGAGUGGAGAAGUAGGUGCGUAGCAGCGACGCGCCUCUUUUAAAUGGAGGGUGAGAGCAGGAAGAGGAGGGCGGGGCUUUACCGCGACACGCCCGCGGCCCCUUCUCUCCUCUGAUUGGUCCGGCGCGGACAUAGCCCCCCGCUCAGCCAUAGAGUAAGACAUGAUGGCCUCCUUCAGGGACUGUCGGACAUUACCAAUAGCCAGUACAAAUGACCAAUAAAAACAUGAUACAAAAAUGUUUUUAUUACGUUUUUUUCUUCUCUAACAUUAUCGUCUUGAUUAGAACCUGUUUAUUCUCUUCAUUUAUUUAUUUAGUUGACCUACUAUUUCUAUGUAGACACGUUGAGUUGUUGGAAAUUUUACUGGAACUGAAGAGGCACAUAAUAAUAUAAUAAUAAUAAUAAUAAUAAUAAUAAUGUUAAUAAUACAUUUCAAUUAUAGAGCACUUUUCAUUGCUAAAAGCAAUCUCAAAGGCCUACAGAGUGCAAACAAAAUUAAAAUUAAAAUUUAAAAAAAAAAAAAAAAAGGUUUCCAUAUCACAUCUGUUAAUCUCUCUCUCUUGGUUUUCUGUGCUCCUCGUAACUUGCCAGUUUAAAUUGACAAUAAAGUUUUAAAAAUAAUAAUAAUUUUAUUCAUAUAGCACUUUUCAGAAGCAGCUUCACAAAGUGCUUUCACAAAAAACACACAAAUCACAGACAAUUCAAAUCAGCAUUCCAACAAUAAUACCGUUUUCAGGUCACACAUCUGUAUAUAAAAAGACGACAUCACACAAAAGCAAAUCUAUAGAAAUGGGUUUUUAAAAGUGACUUAAAGAAGGCACAGACUCUGCGGGCCUCGGCUCCACAGUCGAGGGCCCUGAUGGAGAAAGAUCCGUCUCCCUCUAGAUCUGAGCCUCGACUCUGGAACGACUAGUAAAGACCCGCCGGAGGAUCCGAGGCUGCGAGCCGGCUCGUAGGGGAUCAGCAUUUCAUUCAUGCAGCUUGGAGCGAGACCAAGCUGUGCUUUAAAAGUCAUUAGUAAAAUCUUGGAAAUCAAUUCUAAAAUGGCCGGGCAGCCAAUGAAGUGAAGCUAAAAGUGGGGUUGUGUGACGCCGUCUGUUCAAACCAGUGAGAAGCCGAGCGGCUGAGUUUGGGACCAGUCGGGAUGCUUUGUUGACAGCAGAGAGGAGGGAGCUGCAGUCGUCCAGGCGGGAGAAAAUGAGGGUGUGUCCGUUGGACUAGGUCGGGCUGUGGCAAAGGAACAAUAGAAACAUGAUAUGGAAAUGUUUUGUCACGGGUUUUUUUCCUUUAACAUUAUCGCCAUAAUUACAGUCUGUUUAUUCUCUUUAUUCAUUUAUUUAGUUGAUCGACUAGUGACGAGGGACAUUUCUGCCUUGUUUGUAUACAUUACUGUAAAUAAAGUUGAUCUCUUUGUUUUCUGUUGUCCUCGUACCUUGCCAGUUGAAAUUGUCAAUAAAGUCUUAAAAAUGAUA